CCUGCCGCCCAACCUACCAUCAAAAAGAGCAAGAAGACUACUACUAGCUCCAGAUCGGCAAAUUCUCAAUUUUCACUUGCUCCAACUUCAUCUCCAAUAGUCAAUCCUCCUCCGAUCUCUGUAGUACCACCGCAGCCGACAUCAAAGAUAGCAUCGACAGAGUAUCAAGGUGGCUUGUCCACCUAAUAAGGACAUGACCACAUGCCAAUGAUCGAGUUCUUCCCUAGCACCGCCUCUGACAUCGGUGAGACUAGCUCGAAAAAUAGGACAAAAAAAGCAGCCCAUAAAGUCCUUCAUUUCUUCCUCCUCGAUCGAGAGAAUUGAUCUCUCUUAGGUGUC
This 339-nucleotide long non-coding RNA is filed under the name Elaeis guineensis (African oil palm). RNAcentral's name for it is "long non-coding RNA (EGUI_LNC012447)". The record is from RNAcentral. Lineage: Eukaryota; Viridiplantae; Streptophyta; Magnoliopsida; Arecales; Arecaceae.